Molecule: ribosomal RNA, 108 nt
Filed under: Flavobacteriaceae bacterium
Lineage: Bacteria; Pseudomonadati; Bacteroidota; Flavobacteriia; Flavobacteriales; Flavobacteriaceae
Source: RNAcentral
UAGGGUGGUUUUAGCAGAGGGGCUCACCUGUUCCCAUUCCGAACACAGAAGUUAAGCCCUCUAGCGCCGAUGGUACUGCGAGAGCGGGAGAGUAGGUCGCCGCCAGUU